Non-coding RNA from Equus caballus (horse), 2516 nucleotides. The record is from RefSeq and is a predicted model, not a curated record. Lineage: Eukaryota; Metazoa; Chordata; Mammalia; Perissodactyla; Equidae.
ACCGCUUCCUGGGAGGAGUAAAGGGGGGGGGGGGAGGCGGAGGAGGCGUGGUUUCUGCCUGGGGAGAGGCCGCGCUUCCUGACCCGGUCCCUCUGCACCACCGUGGGUGGGGGAGGGGCGUGCACCCUUUCCGCCCGGGCUUUUGCUGGCUAAUCCGGCUGGAUCUGAAGAGCUGUGCCUGAACCCUGCCGUGCUUAUCAUAGGGACAAGGGGGCUUUAUUUUUGUGUGUCCAAUUCAUGCGCUGCAGCAAAAUGGCCCUUCAAUCGCAUCUGGGGGUUUCUCCACAGGGUGCAAAUGCUCUAGCGCUGAAAAAAAUCCAGAGAAAAGAAAGAGCGACGCCCUCCCGCCCCCAUUAAUUAUUUGUGGGGCUGGAGUAACGCGGGCUGGUGCAACCGGUGCAUAUAAGGACUUGUGUGCUGGGAAGGGGAUCCGCCUCCAGCCACGGAACGAAUGGGGGAGAAGCGCACUGGCACAGCGCGCCCAGCCCCGCGCUUUAGCAAUUUGCAGCGGCCGCUGGGUCGGGUCCGCCAGCUGCCCCCGGGAUUCCGGAUGGCGGGUCUUGGGGGACGGUCACUCGCCGCUUCGGAGCCGGGAAGGUUUGCCAGAAGCGGGAGAGCUGGGAGAUCGGAGCUCCCUUUUGGCAUCGCCACACCCAGGACCUGCCGGUGCCGCAAUUCCCCACGGAAACGACCGAAUAGAAACGAGAAGCUUGUUCUCUGGGUGCAAUGCUUCAGGUAACUCCAAAGGCGACACUGGGUAUGGCAACACCUCAUAGACCUGCCGCCUCAGGACCCUGCGUUUCGCUUUCAGGCAGCGUUUCCGCGGCUGACCUACCCAGACUGAUGGAGAAAGUUUGGCUGGGGGAAAAAGAUGUAACAUACAAGAUGUACGGCGUGAGAGCGAUUUUGCUCCACCCGCUUUCUCAUUUAAAGGCUGAACGUCUACAGUGGUAAACACGACAUUCUGUAAUCAAGAGUGUGAAGUCAUUUCCCCAAACUCCCGGCACAGCCCGCCUCUCCAGCCCUGGUGACCACGCGAAAUAUGCGGGAAGAAACGCUCAAAUUGAACUCUUCCCCAAAUACAGCAGUAGCUUUGAAAGCAUUAUCUGCACCUCUGUUAAGAUGAGCAUACUUCUGGCCAAGGGCAUUGAGGAAUUUUAAUCGUGUAGUGUGAAUAUCAGCUUCAGAAUAAGGCUUUUGAAUGAAUGAAUGGAAGCCACUGCAGCAAGUUCAUCACAACUGCAGACAUUAGGAGACUUUCACCCAGCAUUCGGUAUACGCUGUGCUGUUUCUAUUAUUGUAUCUAUUUAUGUGCAUUGUGGAUCAUGAAACUUGAAAUUGUUCCAACAUCUUAACGGCCACAACAGUUGUUUAGGCGUUUUUGCCGUUAAAACGUCAAACGUUUAAACGUGUUAUAUUCAAAACGCUCGAUUUCAUCUCUCAUGUUUUUACUAAAAUCAUCCAGCUCGAGGUAGUAAGGAACAUGCAGUAAGACACCAAGUAAUGUCGAAAUGACGUUACAAACUAUCAUUUCCUGUCAUCGUCCUUGUUUUACCCUUCUCUGUCCCUUUUUUACCCUCAAUCUAGAUGACAAAUUAAUGUAUUGUCUCAAUGUUGAAAGAAAAUAAUUUAAGAUCAAAUAUUGAGAUCUAUGAACAGAACUAUUUUUAAAACUCCAAACAUAAGAAAAAUGAGAUAAAGAUUUUUUUCUCCAUUUUAUACUCCAGAUUUUAUUUGAAACAUCACAAAAGGAUCGUUUAUUUUGGCGCUAGUGAGUGGUUCAGGCCUUGACGAUACCGUUGACAGUGGCACUAAAUUCAACCCUUAGAUUUAGAAUUAGAUUAGAAAGCUCUGUGUUCAGUACUGUAAUGGGUACUAAGUGGUAGAGGGCUUCCUAGGACCCGGAGAGGAUGACGAGAGAGGCAGUGGAGGCAGGGAUGAGGCUACAGGAAAUACCAUAAAAGGAGAGAUUACAACAGCCGAGGCACCUCCAGCUGAUUACUGGGGCUAUUACUCAGAUCUUCAGCCCAUUGGUGGCCAAAGGGCGAGUAGGUGUCUGAAAUCAGAACAUUAAAAGACCCCUUCACAGAAACCUGGAACUUAAGAAGAAUGGUAAUAAGACUGAAAAUGGAAUGUCCUCACCUGGUCUGCCUGAUAUGCUGCUGUUUACCUUCUUAGGCCCGGUUGUCACCUCCUCUGGGAAAUCUGUACUGAACUCUCCCCCUGUCCCGCCCCUCCAGAAAUAGAGCUGAUCGCUCCCCAUCUCUGUGUCUUGUAAUGUUGUUGUUGUGUACUGUUGUAAUUUAUUUUGUUUACAUGUCUGGGGUCAAACCUUUGUUAAUUCAAGGCCUAGGCAUUAAUUUUAUCUGCAUAUCUAGUUAGUCCUUAGGCAAAAUCUUUUCACUUAGGAGACACUCAAAUGUUUUUUGAACGCAUGAACAAAUAAAUGAAUUAAGGAAUGAGUAAAGACUGCCAUUACAGUUAUCUCCUCCAACCCCAAAGGAUAAUUAUUCAUG